Molecule: ribosomal RNA, 356 nt
Filed under: uncultured Sphingobacteriales bacterium
Lineage: Bacteria; Pseudomonadati; Bacteroidota; Sphingobacteriia; Sphingobacteriales
Description: bacterial SSU rRNA
Rfam family: Bacterial small subunit ribosomal RNA
Source: RNAcentral
UCAUGCGAGGUGCUGCAUGGUUGUCGUCAGCUCGUGCCGUGAGGUGUUAGGUUAAGUCCUGUAACGAGCGCAACCCCUAUACUUAGUUACCAGCACGUAAUGGUGGGGGACGUCUAGGUAAACUGCCUGCGCAAGCAGAGAGGAAGGUGGGGAUGACGUCAAAUCAGCACGGCCCUUACGUCCAGGGCCACACACGUGCUACAAUGGCCGAUACAGAGGGCAGCUACCUGGUGACAGGAUGCAAAUCUCGAAAGUCGGUCUCAGUUCGGAUCGGAGUCUGCAACUCGACUCCGUGAAGUUGGAUUCGCUAGUAAUCGCGCAUCAGCCAUGGCGCGGUGAAUACGUUCCCGGGCCUU